RNAcentral lists this ribosomal RNA (433 nucleotides) under uncultured bacterium. Its description in RNAcentral is "partial 16S ribosomal RNA". It matches the Rfam family "Bacterial small subunit ribosomal RNA", at positions 29 to 507 of the family's 1533-position model. The record is from RNAcentral.
AACGAACGCUGGCGGCAUGCCUAACACAUGCAAGUCGAACGAGACCUCCGGGUCUAGUGGCGCACGGGUGCGUAACGCGUGGGAACCUGCACUUAGGUUCGGAAUAACUCCCCGAAAGGGGUGCUAAUACCGGAUAAUGUCUUCGGACCAAAGAUUUAUCGCAUUUGGAUGGGCCCGCGUUGGAUUAGCUAGUUGGUAGGGUAAAAGCCUACCAAGGCGACGAUCCAUAGCUGGUCUGAGAAGAUGAUAAGCCACACUGGGACUGAGGCACGGCCCAGACUCCUACGGGAGGCAGCAGUGGGGAAUAUUGGACAAGGGGCGAAAGCCUGGUCCAGCAAUGCCGCGUAAGAGAUGAAUGCCUUAGGAUUGUAAAGCUCUUUUACCCGAUAUGAGAAUGACAGUACCGGGAGAAUAAGCUCCGGCUAACUCCGUG